RNAcentral lists this ribosomal RNA (678 nucleotides) under Pseudomonas sp. BFF-1. RNAcentral describes it as "bacterial SSU rRNA". It matches the Rfam family "Bacterial small subunit ribosomal RNA", at positions 117 to 780 of the family's 1533-position model. The record is from RNAcentral. Lineage: Bacteria; Pseudomonadati; Pseudomonadota; Gammaproteobacteria; Pseudomonadales; Pseudomonadaceae.
GUGGGUAACCUGCCCAUAUGACUGGGAUAACUCCGGGAAACCGGGGCUAAUACCGGAUAAUAUUUUGAACUGCAUGGUUCGAAAUUGAAAGGCGGCUUCGGCUGUCACUUAUGGAUGGACCCGCGUCGCAUUAGCUAGUUGGUGAGGUAACGGCUCACCAAGGCAACGAUGCGUAGCCGACCUGAGAGGGUGAUCGGCCACACUGGGACUGAGACACGGCCCAGACUCCUACGGGAGGCAGCAGUAGGGAAUCUUCCGCAAUGGACGAAAGUCUGACGGAGCAACGCCGCGUGAGUGAUGAAGGCUUUCGGGUCGUAAAACUCUGUUGUUAGGGAAGAACAAGUGCUAGUUGAAUAAGCUGGCACCUUGACGGUACCUAACCAGAAAGCCACGGCUAACUACGUGCCAGCAGCCGCGGUAAUACGUAGGUGGCAAGCGUUAUCCGGAAUUAUUGGGCGUAAAGCGCGCGCAGGUGGUUUCUUAAGUCUGAUGUGAAAGCCCACGGCUCAACCGUGGAGGGUCAUUGGAAACUGGGAGACUUGAGUGCAGAAGAGGAAAGUGGAAUUCCAUGUGUAGCGGUGAAAUGCGUAGAGAUAUGGAGGAACACCAGUGGCGAAGGCGACUUUCUGGUCUGUAACUGACACUGAGGCGCGAAAGCGUGGGGAGCAAACAGGAUUA